RNAcentral lists this long non-coding RNA (636 nucleotides) under Trifolium pratense (red clover). Its description in RNAcentral is "long non-coding RNA (TPRA_LNC008830)". Lineage: Eukaryota; Viridiplantae; Streptophyta; Magnoliopsida; Fabales; Fabaceae. The record is from RNAcentral.
CAGGAGGUAAAGUAGCAAAUGAUGCUUACGCGUCACAUAAUAAUGUCACAUUGGACACUGAGGAAGAGAUUAUAGGCGUCGAGCUUGAUGAAAGUUCUACGCUUAUAAUCUCUUUUUGUUUAUCACUUUCAUGGAUAUGAAUUUUCUUUGCUCAUACAAGUCAUAACAGUAGCACAAAUAAGAACAUUUGUUUUUUUUCCACAGCUCAAUAAAUUACUUCAAAAGGCCAUACUCUAGAAACCCUGAUCAACCUGAACAUGUUAAACCUUUUUUUUUUCAGUACUGUAUUUUCACCUUCAAAAAGGAUAUGAAGCCAUAAAGAAAAAGACAGAAAAGUUAUAGAUAUGAUGAUGGUAAUGUACUAAUGUAACAGGAACAAAGAGAUAAAAGUGAGAGAUGUAAAACAAAUGUCCUAUUCAAAGCAAUCCAUGUUACCCUUAAAAAGGCAAUUUUCUUUUUUACCUCUUUUCCAUUCUCUUUUGAUAAAACUUUGAAUAUUAUUGAUGGUUUACAAAUUUUCUCGAUUCUUGAAACUUUGUCCUCAAUUUGUGAGCUAUGAAGCAUUCACAUAGACACCAGAUACAAUACUGACAUGUCUGAUACCGAACACAUCUUAAUCUGAAGUGUUGGUGCUAC